CUCCAUUGCGGCAAAGACUUCAGAGCCUUUGCUAAUCUCUUUUUUCCUUUUCAUUUCUUUCUCAGCCUCUUCCAACCUUUUCUAAAGAGUUUUUACACCCCUUCUCCAAAGAAUCAUUUUUCUUCUCUAGUUUGUUAGUUUGCAAAACACAGACCUCAUACUUUCUUUGUCAAUCAUGAUGAAGAAUGAUAGCUCGCAAGAGAUGACCGUUAAUAAUAUUUCUUCUUUGCUUGAGAGCCAUAUCCUUCGUAAACUUAUCUCAAUUGGAGUUAAAAUACAGAAAAGAGUAUAUGUCGCUCUAGAGACAAUGGCAGGAAUCAUUGAUAAAGCCCUGG
RNAcentral lists this long non-coding RNA (335 nucleotides) under Olea europaea (common olive). Its description in RNAcentral is "long non-coding RNA (OEUR_LNC013409)". Lineage: Eukaryota; Viridiplantae; Streptophyta; Magnoliopsida; Lamiales; Oleaceae. The record is from RNAcentral.